RNAcentral lists this ribosomal RNA (3022 nucleotides) under Salmonella enterica subsp. enterica serovar Enteritidis. RNAcentral describes it as "partial 23S ribosomal RNA". It matches the Rfam family "Bacterial large subunit ribosomal RNA". The record is from RNAcentral. Lineage: Bacteria; Pseudomonadati; Pseudomonadota; Gammaproteobacteria; Enterobacterales; Enterobacteriaceae.
GGUUAAGCGACUAAGCGUACACGGUGGAUGCCCUGGCAGUCAGAGGCGAUGAAGGGCGUGCUAAUCUGCGAUAAGCGCCGGUAAGGUGAUAUGAACCGUUAUAACCGGCGAUACCCGAAUGGGGAAACCCAGUGUGAUUCGUCACACUAUCAUUAACUGAAUCCAUAGGUUAAUGAGGCGAACCGGGGGAACUGAAACAUCUAAGUACCCCGAGGAAAAGAAAUCAACCGAGAUUCCCCCAGUAGCGGCGAGCGAACGGGGAGGAGCCCAGAGCCUGAAUCAGCAUGUGUGUUAGUGGAAGCGUCUGGAAAGGCGCGCGAUACAGGGUGACAGCCCCGUACACAAAAGCGCAUGUGCUGUGAGCUCGAUGAGUAGGGCGGGACACGUGGUAUCCUGUCUGAAUAUGGGGGGACCAUCCUCCAAGGCUAAAUACUCCUGACUGACCGAUAGUGAACCAGUACCGUGAGGGAAAGGCGAAAAGAACCCCGGCGAGGGGAGUGAAAAAGAACCUGAAACCGUGUACGUACAAGCAGUGGGAGCCCCACCACCAAAGCAUUUGCUGUACCGCGUUGACGGAGCGAAGCGACGUCAAACCGAUAAAACAGCAGUGUAAAGUGAGCCGCAGGGCGCUUUGCGCGACAGCGCAAAGGCAGGCGGUUUCGCGUAGCGAAAGCGAAUGCUUUGGGGUGGGGUGACUGCGUACCUUUUGUAUAAUGGGUCAGCGACUUAUAUUCUGUAGCAAGGUUAACCGAAUAGGGGAGCCGGAGGGAAACCGAGUCUUAAUUGGGCGUUAAGUUGCAGGGUAUAGACCCGAAACCCGGUGAUCUAGCCAUGGGCAGGUUGAAGGUUGGGUAACACUAACUGGAGGACCGAACCGACUAAUGUUGAAAAAUUAGCGGAUGACCUGUGGCUGGGGGUGAAAGGCCAAUCAAACCGGGAGAUAGCUGGUUCUCCCCGAAAGCUAUUUAGGUAGCGCCUCGUGAAUUCAUCUCCGGGGGUAGAGCACUGUUUCGGCUAGGGGGCCAUCCCGGCUUACCAACCCGAUGCAAACUGCGAAUACCGGAGAAUGUUAUCACGGGAGACACACGGCGGGUGCUAACGUCCGUCGUGAAGAGGGAAACAACCCAGACCGCCAGCUAAGGUCCCAAAGUCAUGGUUAAGUGGGAAACGAUGUGGGAAGGCCCAGACAGCCAGGAUGUUGGCUUAGAAGCAGCCAUCAUUUAAAGAAAGCGUAAUAGCUCACUGGUCGAGUCGGCCUGCGCGGAAGAUGUAACGGGGCUAAACCAUGCACCGAAGCUGCGGCAGCGACACUGUGUGUUGUUGGGUAGGGGAGCGUUCUGUAAGCCUGUGAAGGUGUGUCGUGAGGCAUGCUGGAGGUAUCAGAAGUGCGAAUGCUGACAUAAGUAACGAUAAAGCGGGUGAAAAGCCCGCUCGCCGGAAGACCAAGGGUUCCUGUCCAACGUUAAUCGGGGCAGGGUGAGUCGACCCCUAAGGCGAGGCCGAAAGGCGUAGUCGAUGGGAAACGGGUUAAUAUUCCCGUACUUGGUGUUACUGCGAAGGGGGGACGGAGAAGGCUAUGUUGGCCGGGCGACGGUUGUCCCGGUUUAAGCGUGUAGGUGUGUGUUCCAGGUAAAUCCGGUUCACUUUAACACUGAGGCGUGACGACGAGGCACUACGGUGCUGAAGCAACAAAUGCCCUGCUUCCAGGAAAAGCCUCUAAGCAUCAGGUAACAUCAAAUCGUACCCCAAACCGACACAGGUGGUCAGGUAGAGAAUACCAAGGCGCUUGAGAGAACUCGGGUGAAGGAACUAGGCAAAAUGGUGCCGUAACUUCGGGAGAAGGCACGCUGACACGUAGGUGAAGUGAUUUACUCAUGGAGCUGAAGUCAGUCGAAGAUACCAGCUGGCUGCAACUGUUUAUUAAAAACACAGCACUGUGCAAACACGAAAGUGGACGUAUACGGUGUGACGCCUGCCCGGUGCCGGAAGGUUAAUUGAUGGGGUCAGCGCAAGCGAAGCUCCUGAUCGAAGCCCCGGUAAACGGCGGCCGUAACUAUAACGGUCCUAAGGUAGCGAAAUUCCUUGUCGGGUAAGUUCCGACCUGCACGAAUGGCGUAAUGAUGGCCAGGCUGUCUCCACCCGAGACUCAGUGAAAUUGAACUCGCUGUGAAGAUGCAGUGUACCCGCGGCAAGACGGAAAGACCCCGUGAACCUUUACUAUAGCUUGACACUGAACAUUGAGCCUUGAUGUGUAGGAUAGGUGGGAGGCUUUGAAGUGUGGACGCCAGUCUGCAUGGAGCCGACCUUGAAAUACCACCCUUUAAUGUUUGAUGUUCUAACGUGGACCCGUUACCCGGGUUGCGGACAGUGUCUGGUGGGUAGUUUGACUGGGGCGGUCUCCUCCUAAAGAGUAACGGAGGAGCACGAAGGUUGGCUAAUCCUGGUCGGACAUCAGGAGGUUAGUGCAAUGGCAUAAGCCAGCUUGACUGCGAGCGUGACGGCGCGAGCAGGUGCGAAAGCAGGUCAUAGUGAUCCGGUGGUUCUGAAUGGAAGGGCCAUCGCUCAACGGAUAAAAGGUACUCCGGGGAUAACAGGCUGAUACCGCCCAAGAGUUCAUAUCGACGGCGGUGUUUGGCACCUCGAUGUCGGCUCAUCACAUCCUGGGGCUGAAGUAGGUCCCAAGGGUAUGGCUGUUCGCCAUUUAAAGUGGUACGCGAGCUGGGUUUAGAACGUCGUGAGACAGUUCGGUCCCUAUCUGCCGUGGGCGCUGGAGAACUGAGGGGGGCUGCUCCUAGUACGAGAGGACCGGAGUGGACGCAUCACUGGUGUUCGGGUUGUCAUGCCAAUGGCACUGCCCGGUAGCUAAAUGCGGAAGAGAUAAGUGCUGAAAGCAUCUAAGCACGAAACUUGCCCCGAGAUGAGUUCUCCCUGAGACUUAGAGUCUCCUGAAGGAACGUUGAAGACGACGACGUUGAUAGGCCGGGUGUGUAAGCGCAGCGAUGCGUUGAGCUAACCGGUACUA